Long non-coding RNA from Lycium ferocissimum, 825 nucleotides. RefSeq lists it as uncharacterized. NCBI's taxonomy places the organism in Eukaryota, Viridiplantae, Streptophyta, Magnoliopsida, Solanales, Solanaceae. The transcript has 2 exons. The record is from RefSeq and is a predicted model, not a curated record.
AUGAACCAUGGACUAUAAUAGUUUCAAGUCUUAGAUAAGCAUGAGUUUGAAUGAAUGAUGGAUUGUAGUAGUUGCACCAGCUGAAUGCCGGAAUACUACAUAUGAUGUAAAUGAGCUUUAGCUUGUUACUUUUGAGACAAUCAUAAGUUUUUAUUCCAGCUUAAUUGACUGACAAUUGAUUAAUCUUUUGGAUUUCCAUCAGAACGUAUCAAGUCACAUGUUGGAAGCUUCUGUUGGAUUUUCUCAACUGUUUCUGCCGCUAAUAGCACACAAGAAAAGCCAGGUUUAUAUUUCUCACGUUUGAUGUAGUUAAGGAAUUGGAAUCAAAGUGAAUAGCUGGGAUGGGUAGUUCCAUCUAUAUAUAUUGUAUACAAGACUUGAAGAUGAAGGAAGGAUAUGGGAUAAGUUCGAUCCUCAUUUUCUUGCCUUUUGGUCAUGACUGGUUGUGGCUUAUAGCAUUAUAUUGGUUCUUCAGGUUAGCGAAAGCCUUCCUUUAGUGGUGUGAACCAUACAGAGCAUUUGCGUGAUGAGAACAGAGAAAGGUUUAGAAAAUGUCAGGUGCAAUUCAAAGAUCUGGUUGGUUUCCAUCUUACAGUUAGUUGCAUUGCAUGUAUAGAAAUGUGAACUUUGGCUGUUUCAGAUCAUAGUGGUUGAAAUAGUUGUAGUAUUUUUGUGAACGGUUUAAUUUUUGUACAUAAUAUGUACAGUGGCGUGAAUACUAUACUACUGAGAUACAUUAUGGUGUUAAUCACUUCUUUGACAGAUGUAUUGCACUUUUCAGAAUUCCUUUUCUGGGUAAUUAAUAGACUUGAUGUUCCCUCCUUA